GAUGAACGCUAGCUACAGGCUUAACACAUGCAAGUCGAGGGGUAACGAGAGGAAAGCUUGCUUUCCUUGUCGACGACCGGCGCACGGGUGAGUAACGCGUAUCCAACCUGCCCCCAACUAGGGAAUAACCUUGCGAAGGUAAGACUAAUACCCUAUAAUUUCCUCAGAUGACAUCUGACGAGGAAUAAAGAUUUAUCGGUUGUGGAUGGGGAUGCGUCUGAUUAGCUUGUUGGCGGGGUAACGGCCCACCAAGGCAACGAUCAGUAGGGGCUCUGAGAGGAAGGUCCCCCACAUUGGAACUGAGACACGGUCCAAACUCCUACGGGAGGCAGCAGUGAGGAAUAUUGGUCAAUGGGCGGAAGCCUGAACCAGCCAAGUAGCGUGCAGGAUGACGGCCCUAUGGGUUGUAAACUGCUUUUAUACAGGAAUAAAGUUAGCCACGUGUGGUUAUUUGUAGGUACUGUAUGAAUAAGGACCGGCUAAUUCCGUGCCAGCCGCCGCAGUAA
Molecule: ribosomal RNA, 506 nt
Filed under: uncultured bacterium
Lineage: Bacteria
Description: partial 16S ribosomal RNA
Rfam family: Bacterial small subunit ribosomal RNA
Source: RNAcentral